UACGGGGGGGGCAAGCGUUGUUCGGAAUUACUGGGCGUAAAGGGCUCGUAGGUGGCCAACUAAGUCAGACGUGAAAUCCCUCGGCUUAACCGGGGAACUGCGUCUGAUACUGGAUGGCUUGAAUCCGGGAGAGGGAUGCGGAAUUCCAGGUGUAGCGGUGAAAUGCUUAGAUAUCUGGAGGAACACCAGUGGCGAAGGCGGUGUUCUGGGCCUGUACUGACGCUGAUGCGCGAAAGCGUGGGGAGCGAACAGG
Molecule: ribosomal RNA, 253 nt
Filed under: uncultured bacterium
Lineage: Bacteria
Description: partial 16S ribosomal RNA
Rfam family: Bacterial small subunit ribosomal RNA
Source: RNAcentral